Molecule: transfer RNA, 77 nt
Filed under: Candidatus Levybacteria bacterium RIFCSPHIGHO2_02_FULL_37_11
Lineage: Bacteria; Candidatus Levyibacteriota
Description: tRNA-Glu
Rfam family: tRNA
About the family: Transfer RNA (tRNA) molecules are approximately 80 nucleotides in length. Their secondary structure includes four short double-helical elements and three loops (D, anti-codon, and T loops).
Source: RNAcentral
GCCGCCAUCGUCUAGUGGUCCAGGACGUCACGUUCUCAACGUGAAGAUCGCGGGUUCGACUCCCGCUGGCGGUACGA